Long non-coding RNA from Rhopalosiphum padi (bird cherry-oat aphid), 1440 nucleotides. RefSeq lists it as uncharacterized. The record is from RefSeq and is a predicted model, not a curated record. The transcript has 3 exons. Lineage: Eukaryota; Metazoa; Arthropoda; Insecta; Hemiptera; Aphididae.
UACGGUUUUAGGUGUUCUUUUUAUUUUAAUAAUACGUUGAUAAAUUACUAAUUUUUUCAAUUUUUUUUCUUAUCACAAAGCUAGUUCGUCUUUGUGUAUGUUUAAAUUUAUAUUUUUUUUAUAGUUAUUGUGCUGUUUAACUUUCUUAUAAAAGAGAGUGAGGAAUUAAAAAGGUGGCCACCGAACAGAAAGUUAAACUGCAAUAUACUAUAAUCUUUUUAGUUCAUGUUUACAUUUUUAACUGAUAAAUUAUGAAUAUAAAAUUUCAAAUUAAUUUAAAUUCAAAAAUAAAAGAACACCAACAUAGAUUUCUUAAACAUUAAAAUUUUACUAUAAAUUUAAAUUACAUUUAAUCAGCACAUUAUUUGAAGUUUUAUAGGAACCGAACAUUUGGCUGGAUCAUGGACUACCCACCGACGGAGAAUUUGUCAUUGAGCUGAAGGAAAAUGUGUCAGCACUCGGCUUCGUUUCAACCCGGAGGAAGAUUGGCAGCAUCAAUAAGAAGCUCAUCUUAAUGUCAACUGUCCAAAGGAUUUGUUUUGAAGAAGAUUUUGUCACAAAGCUGAUGGAAAAUGUGUCAGCACUCGGCUGUAUUUCAACACAAAGGACGUCUAGCAGCAGCAAAAAGAAAUUCAACUGAUAAUCAACUGUCCAAAGGAUUUUGAAGAAGAAUUUGUCAGAAAGCUGAUGGGAAAUGUGUCGGCACUCGGUUUCGUUUCAACCCGGAGGAAGAUUGGCAGCAUCAAAAAGAAGAUCACUUAAUUUAGUUGUCCCCCCUUUACGCAUUAGCGCUCAUCUCUCAUCCACUCAUCCAACACAUUGACUACGCCGGCCGGCAACACACAUAUAUUAUACACAUUACCCGUUUUAUAUUAUAUAGUAUUAUUAAUAUCCACAUAGUUUAAGUUAUUGUAUAUUUUUUUUUAUUAUUUGAAUGCAUUCAUAUGAUCAAUGGCGUAUUUAGGAAUUUUAUGAUAAAGGCAACACAUAUUUUGCAGCCUCCCUCCCCAUUAAAAAAAAAUUAAAAAACUUCUACGCCGCGCAAUGGUGAAACUGUUAAUACCAUAGAAUACCAUGUUAUAUAAAUACUAUAUAGUAUUUUAUACCUCUAUGGCAAUGGCACACAUUUGUUGUGAAAAUUAUUAAUUAUUGACGUCACUGCGCCAGUACUCAUAAAGUACGAAAUUCGCCGUUCUGGACAACUAGACCCAAAGCCCCUACCUAAAUACGCCCCUGAAUAUAAUGCGUUCUCGCUUACGAUGUGGAUUAGGCCUACUGGGGACACCACAAUAAAAAAACGCGCCUCGUGUAAUACCUCAUAAAGUUAUUAAACAAUACGGACAAUGUUAUUGUACGUCGUUUAAUAAUAAAGGUGGUGUGGAAAAUUACCUAACACUGUUAUUCUUAUCUUAUAGUUACCUUGCAUACAUUUUUUUUAUU